RNAcentral lists this ribosomal RNA (471 nucleotides) under uncultured bacterium. RNAcentral describes it as "partial 16S ribosomal RNA". It matches the Rfam family "Bacterial small subunit ribosomal RNA", at positions 28 to 522 of the family's 1533-position model. The record is from RNAcentral.
GACGAACGCUGGCGGCGUGCUUAACACAUGCAAGUCGAACGGGAGUAUCGAAGAAGCUUGCUUUUAAGAUACUUUAGUGGCGGACGGGUGAGUAACGCGUGAGGAGCUGUCCUAUGCAGGGGGACAACAGUUGGAAACGACUGCUAAUACCCCAUAAGCCGAGAGGUAAAAGGAUUUAUCCGGCAAAGGAGGUACUCGCGUCCUAUCAGCUAGUAGGUGAGGUAACGGCUCACCUAGGCGAAGACGGGUAGCCGGCCUGAGAGGGCGAACGGCCACACUGGAACUGAGAUACGGUCCAGACUCCUACGGGAGGCAGCAGUGGGGAAUAUUGGGCAAUGGGGGCAACCCUGACCCAGCGACGCCGCGUGGGUGAAGAAAUCCUUCGGGAUGUAAAGCCCUGUUGUAUGGGGAGAGCGGAAGACGGUACCAUACGAGGAAGCCCCGGCAAACUACGUGCCAGCAGCCGCGUAA